Molecule: ribosomal RNA, 120 nt
Filed under: Candidatus Jorgensenbacteria bacterium GW2011_GWC1_48_8
Lineage: Bacteria; Candidatus Joergenseniibacteriota
Source: RNAcentral
AGCCUGGUCAUCAGAGCGAUGUGGUCCCACCUCUUCCCAUUCCGAACAGAGUCGUGAAACAUAUCAGCGCUGACGAUAGUGUAGGGGCAACUCUAUGCGAAAAUAGGUCAUGACCAGACU